GAAACCCUCUCACAAAAUAAUUUUUGGUGGAUGUUGAGUGUUGCUGUGUAUCAGCUCACUUUAAAUAUAUCAGUCACUUUUUUUUCAUUAUAAGUUGGAUUGACUUGGUGUAAUAACACAUCAAGGAAAGUAGCAAUACUUGCCAGCUUUUGAGAAAGGAGACUUCUAAAGAAACAUAUUAUAAUU
RNAcentral lists this unclassified non-coding RNA (186 nucleotides) under Puccinia ferruginosa. Its description in RNAcentral is "ITS2". The record is from RNAcentral. Lineage: Eukaryota; Fungi; Basidiomycota; Pucciniomycetes; Pucciniales; Pucciniaceae.